This 500-nucleotide small RNA is filed under the name Pan troglodytes (chimpanzee). RNAcentral's name for it is "processed transcript". The record is from RNAcentral. Lineage: Eukaryota; Metazoa; Chordata; Mammalia; Primates; Hominidae.
UCUGAUGGUGUCCAGAGUGAGCUUUGGCAGUCUCUAAGACUGGAGUGCAAUGGUGCAAUCUUGGCUCAUUGCAGCCUCCGCCUCCUGGAUUCAAGUGACUCUCCUGCUUCAGCCUCCUAAGUAGCUGGGACUACAGGUCCUGAUUCAGUAGGUUCGGGAGGAUCCUGGUUCUGCUCGUCCAAGCUGCCAGGGUCUGAUUUCCUUUGUGUGUGCGCUCCCCCACUAGGGGUUCUUUGGCUGGCAAGAGAAACUAGAGAAGUUUUGCUUCCAGGAGGGGAGAGGGACUUGAGUGAGAACGCCAUCCAGGCCAUCCCCAGGAAAGCUUUUCGGGGAGCUACGGACCUUAAAAAUUUUUACACAUACAUAAGGCCGCUGCAAGUCAGUGAACAUCGCUGAGCCUCGAUAUAUUGUUCUGGAAAAUGGGGAUACUAAGAUCUACUUCACAGGCAUGUUCUGAGGUUUAAAUGAAACAUGGAAAUAAAUACAGUUUGUCAAAUGCU